GGUACCGUCAAGCCCCCUCACGAGGGGGUGUUUCUUCCCGUAUAAAAGCAGUUUACAACCCAUAGGGCAGUCUUCCUGCACGCGGCAUGGCUGGAUCAGGCUCUCGCCCAUUGUCCAAUAUUCCUCACUGCUGCCUCCCGUAGGAGUA
Molecule: ribosomal RNA, 148 nt
Filed under: uncultured Bacteroidota bacterium
Lineage: Bacteria; Pseudomonadati; Bacteroidota
Description: uncultured Bacteroidetes bacterium partial 16S ribosomal RNA
Source: RNAcentral